This 102-nucleotide non-coding RNA is filed under the name Bacillus sp. (in: firmicutes). Its description in RNAcentral is "Bacillus sp. Guanine sequence". It matches the Rfam family "Purine riboswitch aptamer". Rfam says of the family: Riboswitches are metabolite binding domains within certain messenger RNAs that serve as precision sensors for their corresponding targets. Allosteric rearrangement of mRNA structure is mediated by ligand binding, and this results in modulation of gene expression. A class of riboswitches that selectively recognises guanine and becomes saturated at concentrations as low as 5 nM. Lineage: Bacteria; Bacillati; Bacillota; Bacilli; Caryophanales; Bacillaceae. RNAcentral also lists the same sequence under 1 other name. The record is from RNAcentral.
AAUUUAAUAAAUAUAUAAAUUCGUAUAAUCAUGGGAAUAUGGCCCAUAAGUUUCUACCGAGCUACCGUUAAUAGCUUGACUACGGAUAUGAAUGAUACUGCC